Molecule: long non-coding RNA, 1169 nt
Organism: Daphnia carinata
Lineage: Eukaryota; Metazoa; Arthropoda; Branchiopoda; Diplostraca; Daphniidae
Exons: 5
Source: RefSeq, a predicted model, not a curated record
UGAACCAUCAGUCGCCAAUGGCUGACACGCGUUCAGGACAUUGUCCUGGCUUGCAAGAGCGGCUUUCGGCUUCCCCACUUUGGAAUCAGGAAAACUAUUCGCCUUCAUAUAUGAAGGCAAGUGUUCGUUCCUGGGCUUGCCCACUGUCAACUAGACGAUGCCGGCCCAGCAGAUUAUUGAAGAUGCCCAACAUAAUCACUGUGGCAGACUAUGUGUUGAAAUUGGGCCUAAUUUAUCGUUGGGUGAAUUGGUUUGGUGAAUGGAGAAUGGACCAAUGAAUGAAGACCAGCUAUAUUGAGUUUAUUUUUCUUCUAAAUAUUUAACAGUAAAUAUAAAAGAACUUGGAUUGACUGACUUGUGAAAAAUUUUUAGUGCUUUGUCUGCUGUAAAUAAUUAUUUUACUUUGCCUUUUGUUGUGUAGAUCUACGAGGUUAAACGGAAACCCAUGUUGGUAACAGUCCCUUGACGUUCUUUUGUCCGUAAAUCAGCACUUUUACAGUUGAAGAUUACCUAGGGAUGCUAGAGGUAUGUUGCGGAUUGUGAAAAAAGAAAAUUUCGGCACAAGUAUAUAACUUGUGAAGAAGAAAAAAAGUCGUCUUACUGAAGGGAGGUAUCUUGAUGCAAUCAUUCAUCGGGGGGACAGGCCCCCCUUUUGUUUUGUAGAUGUACGAGUUUAACGCAAACCUGUUUUGGUAACAGUGUUUGACGUUCUUUUAUCCGGACAUCAGGAGUUCGACAGUUGUUGAAGAUUUUCUGUAUGUACUAGAGGUGUAUUGAAGAUUGUGAAAAAACAAAAUGUCUGUACACAAGUGUAGACCUAAUGUUUUAAAACUUUUCCAGGAAAGGUUGCUGAAACCAUUCUCUCGUCCCGCCAUUUUGAGGAAAAGAUGGCCGAACUCUUACCAUCAACCAAUAGAAUUUGAGAAGAACAAAAGGCUGUUGGAGUUGCUCAUUUCAGUGGCCAUUUUGUUUGACAAGUUGUCGAUACCUAUAGGGGAAUUCUUAAAGGUUUCCAGAUGUACUGGCAAGAAUCGGUAUCAAAUUAUGAUAGUUGAAUACUCGCACACAGGUUCAACAUGGAAGAAAUGUGCAAGUGUUGAUAUUGCAGUAGACAAAUGGGUGGUGUUAGACAAAUGGAUAUGAAGGUUACACAUAAGCCACAAGGAAAU